UGGGGAAUAUUGGACAAUGGGCGAAAGCCUGAUCCAGCCAUGCCGCGUGUGUGAAGAAGGUCUUCGGAUUGUAAAGCACUUUAAGUUGGGAGGAAGGGCAGUUACCUAAUACGUAUCUGUUUUGACGUUACCGACAGAAUAAGCACCGGCUAACUCUGUGCCAGCAGCCGCGGUAAUACAGAGGGUGCAAGCGUUAAUCGGAAUUACUGGGCGUAAAGCGCGCGUAGGUGGUUUGUUAAGUUGGAUGUGAAAUCCCCGGGCUCAACCUGGGAACUGCAUUCAAAACUGACAAGCUAGAGUAUGGUAGAGGGUGGUGGAAUUUCCUGUGUAGCGGUGAAAUGCGUAGAUAUAGGAAGGAACACCAGUGGCGAAGGCGACCACCUGGACUGAUACUGACACUGAGGUGCGAAAGCGUGGGGAGCAAACAGGAUUAGAUACCCGUGUAGUCCCUGAGCGGGCUGGCAAGGCGCAU
This 472-nucleotide ribosomal RNA is filed under the name uncultured bacterium. RNAcentral describes it as "bacterial SSU rRNA". It matches the Rfam family "Bacterial small subunit ribosomal RNA", at positions 355 to 825 of the family's 1533-position model. The record is from RNAcentral.